CUAGGAGACUUUAAUGAAAUUCUAUUAAAUUCAGAGAAGGAAGGAGGCAAUCCAAGGCCCGUGAGAUUUAUGCAAGAUUUCCAGGACUGUCUAGAUCAUUGCGGCCUAAGUGAUAUGGAAUUUGUGGGUGAUAAGUAUACAUGGAGACGUGGCAAAAUUAGGGGAAGGCUGGACAGAUCGGUGUCUUCGUCAGAAUGGAGAAAUUUAUUUCCUUUUGCUGCGUUGGUUAAUGAGAGUAUGACAAAAUCAGAUCACCGUCCAAUUGUUGUGGACACACAGUACUUUAAGGCAGAUGUAUUACAGAAUAAACAAGCUACUAAUCAUUUUGAAGCAUGA
This 336-nucleotide ribosomal RNA is filed under the name Triticum aestivum (bread wheat). RNAcentral's name for it is "partial small subunit ribosomal RNA". Lineage: Eukaryota; Viridiplantae; Streptophyta; Magnoliopsida; Poales; Poaceae. The record is from RNAcentral.